Molecule: transfer RNA, 71 nt
Filed under: Ictidomys tridecemlineatus (thirteen-lined ground squirrel)
Lineage: Eukaryota; Metazoa; Chordata; Mammalia; Rodentia; Sciuridae
Description: Spermophilus tridecemlineatus (thirteen-lined ground squirrel) tRNA
Rfam family: tRNA
About the family: Transfer RNA (tRNA) molecules are approximately 80 nucleotides in length. Their secondary structure includes four short double-helical elements and three loops (D, anti-codon, and T loops).
Source: Rfam by way of RNAcentral
AGGGUUGUGGCUCAGCGGUAGAGUACUCGCCUCCCAUGUAUGAGACCUGGGUUCGAUCCUCAGCAUCACGU